GACAGAGGGUGCAAACGUUGUUCGGAAUUACUGGGCGUAAAGCGUGUGUAGGCGGUCUCGAAAGUCGGAUGUGAAAGCCCCGGGCUCAACCCGGGAAGUGCACUCGAUACUGCGAGACUUGAGUGUCGGAGAGGUUGGUGGAAUUCUCGGUGUAGAGGUGAAAUUCGUAGAUAUCGAGAGGAACACCGGUGGCGAAGGCGGCCAACUGGACGAACACUGACGCUGAGACACGAAGGCGUGGGGAGCAAACAGG
RNAcentral lists this ribosomal RNA (253 nucleotides) under uncultured bacterium. RNAcentral's name for it is "partial 16S ribosomal RNA". It matches the Rfam family "Bacterial small subunit ribosomal RNA", at positions 524 to 776 of the family's 1533-position model. The record is from RNAcentral.